GACGAACGCUGGCGGCGUGCUUAACACAUGCAAGUCGAACGGAAAGGCCCUGCUUUUGUGGGGUUCUCGAGUGGCGAACGGGUGAGUAACACGUGAGUAACCUGCCCUUGACUUUGGGAUAACUUCAGGAAACUGGGGCUAAUACCGGAUAGGAGCUCCUGCUGCAUGGUGGGGGUUGGAAAGUUUCGGCGGUUGGGGAUGGACUCGCGGCUUAUCAGCUUGUUGGUUGGGUAGUGGCUUACCAAGGCUUUGACGGGUAGCCGGCCUGAGAGGGUGACCGGCGACAAGGGGACUGAGAGACGGCCCAGACUGCUACGGGAGGCAGCAGUGGGGAAUAUUGCACAAUGAGAGGAAGCCUGAUGCAGCAACGCCGCGUGCGGGAUGACGGCCUUCGGGUUGUAAACCGCUUUCGCUUGUGACGAAGCGUGUGUGACGGUAAUGGGUAAAGAAGCACCGGCUAACUACGUG
This 468-nucleotide ribosomal RNA is filed under the name uncultured bacterium. Its description in RNAcentral is "partial 16S ribosomal RNA". It matches the Rfam family "Bacterial small subunit ribosomal RNA", at positions 28 to 507 of the family's 1533-position model. The record is from RNAcentral.